UACGGAGGAUGCAAGCGUUAUCCGGAAUGAUUGGGCGUAAAGCGUCCGCAGGUGGCUGUGUAAGUCUGCUGUCAAAGAGCGAAGCUCAACUUCGUAAAGGCAGUGGAAACUACACGGCUAGAGUGCGUUCGGGGCAGAGGGAAUUCCUGGUGUAGCGGUGAAAUGCGUAGAGAUCAGGAAGAACACCUGCGGCGAAGGCGCUCUGCUAGGCCGUAACUGACACUGAGGGACGAAAGCUAGGGGAGCGAAUGGG
This 253-nucleotide ribosomal RNA is filed under the name uncultured bacterium. RNAcentral's name for it is "partial 16S ribosomal RNA". It matches the Rfam family "Bacterial small subunit ribosomal RNA", at positions 524 to 776 of the family's 1533-position model. The record is from RNAcentral.